GCUCGGUGGUUUCCUCCGCGCUCCCGUUUCCAUGGCUUCGGUUUCCUCCUUGAUUCUCGUCUCCGUCCGAAGCCUGUGCUGUAACGUAGGAUUUUACUAGAAGAGCAGGGCUGGUGGUUCGGGAGACGUUGAACUCCUAGAGGGAGGAGGACGGGGAAGCCCGUGCUGGUGUGAUUUCCAUUACAACGAACGUCUCUGUCAUAAAAAUAAGACUUGGAACCCCCAAGGUUGAAACAGCCAAGUAGAAUUUGCUAGAAAUAUAUUUAGGAACAGCCAAUUCAUCAGAAUAAUGCUUGGUAUCCUUUUCAUUAAAGGAAUUGGCCUGUUAAAGUGGGUCUAAAUGGAACUCUAAAAGCUUUUUAUUUUUUUCAUCGUUGAGGAAGAAAACGUUUCCUUUCAGUGUAUUUUUCAUUUUCCAGAUUCAUUCAUUUAACAAAUGUCAGUGGAGUGCUUUUCCAUGUGCAAGGGCCUGCGCAAGGCACAGAACGUUCUAGAUGCCUGAAGCACCAAAACUUAAAUCAUUCUUAGUUCCAAGAAAACCAUUCAAAAUAUUUUCAAUGCUUUUGUGCCUUUCACGCACACAAUAUUCCAAGGCAUUCUUUGUGCAACAUAUGCAUGAAAACAAGAGAGGAAAGAAAAAUACCCUCUGAGAGACCCAAUUACAGAAUGGAGUUACACCCAGUUCAUUAUUUAAAAAAUAUGUUUAUUUAAAAGGAAAGGGGAAUAUUCUGGGGGGAAAAAUUAAGGAAGGGCAAAAUAGGAAUGAGAAACAUAGUGGAAGUGACUGUGAUCCCCUGAUGGUGGGAAGCGAAUCACCAAAGGAACCUAAAUAUGAAGUCAUGAGAAGCUUUGAGUGGACUCCGCAUUUUUGUACUUCCCAUGAGGGGGGAAGUUGCCGGUGACCUCUUUAUUGUAUUCACCACGAUUCAAGAGACAGAAAGCUGUCCUUCUGACCUCGGAAGUAGGGUGUCUGCAUAUUUAUAGUCACCAUGAGCCCAUGAGCCCGGAGCUGACCCUUACUCCAAGGAUGGCUGAUAUCACACAUUUAAUAAUUGAUUCUUGUUAGCUUCCAUUUAUUCAACCUUUUCUGACCUUGUCUUCAAAUUCUGGAUACAUCUUAUUUGAUUUCCCUGGGUCAUUCUAAAGCCCCACCGUGUCCAGAUGGGAAAAUAUAAAGAAAGCAGAAACUUUGGAGUCCAAAGAUCAGGAUUUUCGUGUCAGCGUGCCACAUCUUGCCUAUAUAAUUUCAAAGCAGGUAUGAAAACCUUUCUGUGUGAUCUUGCUUCACAGAGAAAAUAGAGGCUUACAGAUGUGAACUCUAGCUUCCAGCUUCCCCAG
Hipposideros armiger (great roundleaf bat) is the source of this 1338-nucleotide long non-coding RNA. RefSeq lists it as uncharacterized. The record is from RefSeq and is a predicted model, not a curated record. Lineage: Eukaryota; Metazoa; Chordata; Mammalia; Chiroptera; Hipposideridae. The transcript is spliced from 3 exons.